AAAAAAUCGAUGAAAGAACGAGUAGAUUUCAACCUAAUCGUAUAAGAGAAAGUUGCCUUGGCUGAAAGCAACUUCAUUAGUGAAAUUAAAAGACAUUCUGGAGAUGAACGGAGGAAAAGCCGUUCCGUUGCGAGCGUUAAUCGUUAGAGGAAAGAGCAAUCUUUCGAAACUUAGGUGGUACCGCGUGUGUCUAUUCACUCGCCCUUGUA
Molecule: non-coding RNA, 209 nt
Filed under: Enterococcus sp.
Lineage: Bacteria; Bacillati; Bacillota; Bacilli; Lactobacillales; Enterococcaceae
Description: T-box sequence
Rfam family: T-box leader
About the family: Uncharged tRNA acts as the effector for transcription antitermination of genes in the T-box leader family. T-boxes are found upstream of many aminoacyl-tRNA synthetase genes and some amino acid biosynthetic genes usually in Gram-positive bacteria.
Source: RNAcentral